This is a non-coding RNA of Kogia breviceps (pygmy sperm whale), 612 nucleotides long. The record is from RefSeq and is a predicted model, not a curated record. NCBI's taxonomy places the organism in Eukaryota, Metazoa, Chordata, Mammalia, Artiodactyla, Physeteridae.
CACCAGCUCUGUGUGGACAGCGGGGCCGGAGGGAAGCCGCGACUCCUGUCAGGAGGCCCCUGGGCAUCCCCAUGAGACAUGAAGGAGCUGGUGCCACAGAGAAGUCCCCGCUGCUGCCAAGGAUGCCACCUGAUGCAGAGGGAGCGCCCCCCUGCUUCUCCCCUCCUCCACCCUCCAGUCUCCUGCUGGCGGAACCCAGCUGAAAUCAGGGCCAAGGCAGCCUGGGCGAGUCAGUUCUCGCCACACAGAGGAGUGAUGACAACCCCUAACCGAAGGACUGAAAUCAGCAAGGCUGACCACACUGAGUGCUGCAGGGGAUGCAGACCCCCAGGCACUCUCAGGCCCACGGGGCAGGGAAUGGAAGUCACUAACCACCACCCCCAGAAAACUGGCAACCUGCACAGCCCCCGGGCCCUAGCAAUCCCACUCCUGAGGGGUAACCCCGAGACCCCAGGAGCCCUCCCCCACAGGCAGAUGCACAGAUGUUCACAGCAGCAGCGUCGCUCAGGGAACGUCCCUGGAGACAACCCACAUAUUCCCCCAGCAGGACAAUGGAUAAACAGUGUGAUGCAGCCAUUGGACGGAAUACUGCUUGGUGAAGAAAAAGAACAA